Molecule: long non-coding RNA, 217 nt
Filed under: Elaeis guineensis (African oil palm)
Lineage: Eukaryota; Viridiplantae; Streptophyta; Magnoliopsida; Arecales; Arecaceae
Description: long non-coding RNA (EGUI_LNC011021)
Source: RNAcentral
GGUAGAGAAUGACACUUGAAGAUGAGUACUCAAGAACACUUAUAUUCCUGGUCAUGGACUUAAAUUUAGACCACCUAUAUUCCUGGUCAUGGACUUAAAUUUAGACCUAACGGAAAGUGCUUGAGCCCAUCUAAUCCUGUUCAAUAAUAACCGGAAAUCUAGUUGAGUUGAACCAAACUGGUUAUGAACCCAAUCUGAUCAGAUUGUUGUCAGCUUC